UCCAACUUUAGUCCUGCUUCCCAGCAUACUUGUUACUGCUAGUUGCUGGAUGCAGAGCUGGAUCCAGGUUUAGGUACAGGAAAGCAGCUCCUGAUCUAGUGGGGAAGAUGGUUCCCUGCGGCUGGGAGAGGGGGUGAUUUAUGAACAAGCUGGCAAGGCUGUUACGAUGACGGAUUCACCAUGUCGUUGCCCUCUGGGCUGCGCUGAGCGCCAGCCACUUAGUGAGACGCUUCCAUUAACAUCCAUCCCCAUCAGAGUGACUCUUUAAUCUUCUUACAUCAACACCUCCCUACUAAGGGCUGCUCUUAAAGAGACAGUGAGCCUGAGGAGGGCCUCCCAGUGACUGGGUGCCCCUGAACUCCUUGCCCUGCCCCUUCUGGGCCCAGUUUUCAAAUCCCCAGACCGGCUGGCCAGGGUAUCAAUUUUAAGAUACUUGCAGGGCACUCUUGGAGAUGUUUAUUCAGAACUAAAUUCCACUGAGUUCAACGGGCCUUACGCCCCAGCAAGGAUGUUUUGUACUGCAGCCUUAAUUGCUACAGAAGGGGACACAGACAUAGCCUGUGAGCCAUUUGGAUGGGGCGGUAUAAUAAAUGAAUGAAUGAAUGAUAGCCAAAUGAAUGAGAAAGACAGAAAGGUAAGGGAUCUACAAGGCAAUGGGAAAGGAGAUAGGUGACAUCCCACCCAGCAGGCAUGUCAGAUGAGGAAGAAGGCCUUUUUAUCCAUGGUUUAUCACAUGGGGCACAGACACAAUCCAGCAUAGGUUUAGAACUUUUGAGCCCCACUGGUUUCAGUUGGAUAAUGUUAAGCAUUUAUUCCAGAAUGUGCCUGCACACAGGUUAUCGAUAUGGAGCCUGCGUACUGAGAAGGCAGUAGGACAAUCUGCAGGCCUAUUUAACAUUAGCUGUAUGGGACAGAUGCACAGCCAACACAGACCAUAUGAAGAAGGGCCAACAGCGCUGCAAUGGAGCUGUUUAUUCUUCUGGUACUGAGGACAGUCCAUCACUUCUAUCAGCUUCAUCUAUGAGGUCAAAAAUAGAGGCAAGGUAAAAUAUCUCUUCAGUUCCUCUUGAGAUCAGACUCCCUUUCCUAUUGUCUCACAGUAUGCAUGCUGGAAAAUCUUGAAUUGUUCCAUUUCUUUCCAUCAUCCAAUAUGACAGAAUCCCCUCGGAUUUCAAUUAUUUCUUUUAGUCCAGAAUAUCAGGAAAAUCCCUUUCUCACUUUAUAAGACAGACAUACUUGAACAAAGUCCCCCACCUGAAAUGUUCACUGUUUCACACUCCGUUUCUGAUCUACAUACAAUUUAUAUUUUUGUUGCUUCUCCCUUACUUGAUCAUGACUCUCUGCAUCCUCAGAGUAAGAUCCGAAAGCCCUAUCAAUUGUCUCCAUUGGGUAAGUUUGGUGGUAGCUUUGGGACCUCUCUGUAGUUCAAAAGGUGAUUUUCCUGUAGUAAAAUGAGGAAUAGUUCAAUAAGCAAAUAGUUUCACAGAUAUCCUCUUUCCAGGGUUGUUGUUGAAUAGUAUCCAGUUGUAAACUUCCUUUCACUAAUCUGUUCAUUCUUUCCACUAAGCCACUCCCUCAAGAAUGGUACAAGGAAAGAGUCUUGUGUUUUAUCCCAUGGUUAUACCAACUCGGCACAACUUUACUUUACUUCAUGAAAUAUUGGUCCAUUUCAAAUGAGGGUCCUGGCAUCUUUCCCACUUUUGCAGCUUUUGGAGCAGCCAUCCUAUCCUGCCCCCUCAAAACAGGGGACAUGACACAACCCAUGAGCCAGGACUGCGGAAUAGUGCAAGGAAAGAUUCCAACAACAAAGGAAUAAGAAUGGAAGAAUGACUGAGAAAAGACUUGUGCACAGACUUCUUGGAUGAACUGCUAACUUUCAGGAGACAUAAUAAGGAGACAAACCCUGAGCUUUAUUUAUUUAUUACAUUCCUGGAAAGAAGGCAUGAAAAUUACACAAAGACAUUUCCAAGCUUCCUUGGUUGUGGCAGACAAACUAUUCGAGGAUAAGUUUUUGUUAAGGAGACACAUUGUCCAGAAGACAUAUUGUGAAGACCAGACCAGAAGACAAACUUUUCCGUUGCGCAAAACUCUUCUUCAGGAGGACAAAGGCAGACAAGGAGAAUUAUUCUAAGCAGGGCCAUAGUUCAGUGGUAGAGCAUCUGCUUUGCAUGCAGAAUGUCCCAGACUGAAUCCCUGGCAGCUCCAGGUAGGUCUGAGAAAGACUUCUGCCUAAAACCUUGGGGUGCCGCUGCCAUUCAGCAUAGUAGACAAUAUUGAGCUAGCUGGACGAAAGGUCUAACUCAGUGUAAGGCUACUACCUAUGUAGGACACUUCCAGCAAAUUCAGGAAACACAUGAUUAAGCCAGGCACGACAUCCAUUGUUGAAAUCAGGAGCUGGAAGUCCGCGGAGGCCUCCAUGCCUUCCCAGCAUGCUUUGCACUGCCAACUGACUGGAAAGCCUCAUGACAUCAGCAACUGCCACGCUCUGACUGGCCAUGAAGGAGCAGGAGGUGAGGCAGACCCAGCCCUGCUGAAGCUGCUCCAGCGAAAGGAACACAGCGUGUGUUUUGCAGAGCGCCAUGUCAAGGGAUAGCAGCCCUGUGGCCCCAGCUCUCUAUUGUUUCCAUGCCUGCUGAGUCCUGGUGGCUGGGUCGAAGAGUUGUGUGGGCUCAUAUGACCAGAGAAUCAAAGUAUGAGAGUCCUCUUCUCCCACCUCAGUUAUGAGCAGAUUGAGAGAGCUGGGUUACUCUGCUUUGAGCAACCUGCAAUGGAGAGGUUUGUAUGCAUCCACCCAAUCAUGCAAACCAGGCAGCCUGCCUCCUACCCUGACUUUGAAGAUUGUGGGAACCAAGCGAUUGUGUUUUUUGUGGGACACGGGGAACUGGCUCUCCCUGUUACCCCUCCUGGUUCUGCUGUGGUCUGGAUCUGGGCUUGCUCCUCUCAAAAAGAAAAAGGGGGUGGGGGGAGAACAGUCGUUCUCAUAACAAUCUCCACAUGUGCAGUCACAAAGCAGCUGCACCACUGUUCUCAAAAAAAGUGAGAUUUUCUCCAUUCAGAAAUGUGACGCUGCAAGUGCAGGGAAAGCAUAGGCUGAAAAUGGAUGGAUGACAACAUGUGCAGACCCAUAAAGAGUGAGCAAACAAGGUGUGGCAAUCCCAGACUAAACACCUGUCUGCAAGUGCCCUUAAUUUUAGGUACACCUUUACAGAGUUCAGCACUAGAACUUGCUAGGGAUCAGUCCUGAAACACGAUAGGAGAGUUUCUGAGCAUGUACAGAGAGCAUUCCCAUCCAACACUGAGUAAACAAAAUUUGCCCACACACAUCUGGAAUGAGGAGGGUGAGAAUUCCAGGGCAGUUUGUGGGCUUAAGCCCUGACAUAAGAAGAGCCCUGUUAGAUCAGAUAAAAGCACCAUCUAGUCCAGCAUCAUGUUUCCAAGAGGGACCAGCUGGAUGCCUCCAGAACCUCCACAUAAGAACAUUAAGAACAGCCCUGCUGGAUCAGGCCCAAGGGACCCAUUCAGUCCAGCAUCCUGUUUCCCACCAGGUGCCUCCGGGAAGCCCAUAGGCAAGAGAUGAAGGCUUGCCCUCUCUCCUGCUGUUGCUCCCCUGCAACUGGAAUGGCAUUCACGGUAUGAGGGCGAUAGUUUUUCUCUAUGAUUCAUCCCCAGCAGCAGGCAUUCGGAGCUAUACUGCCUCUGAACACAGAGGUUCCACUUAGCUACCAUGGCUGGCUAGCCAUGGCUGUUGCUUAUCUUUCUAGAAGCCAUAGCUCAGUGGCAGAGCAUCUGCUUUGCAUGCAGAAGGUCCCAGGUUCCAUUCCUGGUAGCAUCUCUCCAGGUAGGGCUGGGAAGGAGGAGGAUUCCUGCCUGAAACCUUGGAGAGCCACUGCCAGUCAGUGUCGACAAUACUGAACUAGAUGGGCCAAUGGCCUGACUUGGUAUAAGGCAGUUUCCAAAGUUUCACAUGCAUGUUUCCUAGAAAUUAACAGUUGUUUCUGUGCACUCAGUGAAAAGGUGUCCUUUCUGGGUUGCUCCCAUGGCAGCUGCCCUCUAUAUUUGUUGGAGGUACAUAUGGCAACCAUUCCCAGGAUCCUUUUCAGGUGGAGGGAAAGCAGCCUAGCCUAGAAGGAGAGGAGAAUCCGUCCUUGCCACAAAUACAUACGCCCAUCCUCACACAUUCUCACGCACAUUCUUUCACUUGCUCUCAGCACCUCCUGCUGCAAUCCAAUCCAAGCAGCCCAUAAAUUAAGCAGGACAAAGGCACAUUCCUGGCCUGCCUGGCCCCCUCUCUCCUCAGCCCCCUGGCUCCGCAGAGUCGCCUGCGCCAACAUUGCAGGAGAGAAGGGAUGUUUUUCUCCCUAGCGCUGGCAUCCUGAGAGAUUCCCCCAUAAAUCUCCCCUGCUUUGUUGUGUCCCCCUUGCAAGCUGUUUCCAUUCAUUCUAACCUGGUAAUUUCAUCUUCAUGUGCAGCAUUAGAAAGCGGGAAGGGGAAAGAGGCGGGGUGGUGGUGGUGGGGGGGAGCCCAGGAGAGGGAGAAAGAAAAAUCUGGAGGAGAUAAAGCUGAGUUGGCUUCUUCCCCCCCUGCUCCCCUGGCCCUGUCUCUCUCCGCUCUCUGGAGCUGCUCUCAGAAUAAUAAUCAAGAGCCUGGAUCAAGAGGCUUCCAGACACACCACAGCUCAAGGACAUCCUGCCCCAACAAGCCUGACUUGCAGCUGAACCUUGCUUUUUAAGCCCAGCAAAGGUCUGGAUUUACCAUUUCACAAAGCAACAGAGAAAGACCCUCGCAUCUGAAACUGCCUUUUACUGAGGGCCAACCCAAAGACAUAAUGGGUUUGAAUCUUCUGUUGACUUAUUUUGGCCAAUAACAGGGAAGAAAAUCUGGAUUAGGAUCACAGGUGCUGCAGGAGCGGGGCUUCACUCUUUCCCCAGUGUGCUAUUUUCUGGAUGAAGAUCACUCCCUUCCAGCUGCUCUUUGUCCCAUUAGGGAGAAAUGGGCAUGCAGGCUGUUCCCCCAUUUAACAAGGCAAGUAGCAGUUUGGGCAGUGAUGGCACAAGACGUCCUGGUGUCUGAGGGAGGGCACCAGUUUCUGCCUCUUCCCUUUUUUCAAGAAGCAGCAGAGGCAAUACCUGGUGUGGUUGGGGAAGAACUGCUCAGAUGGCAGAGGGUGGCAGAGGGAUAAAGGUGAGGGUGAAGGCAUCUUUCCACCCAGCUGGCACUCCAAUAAUUUGCUGCUUGUGGCGACUGCCUCAGCUUGCCUUAUGGAAGAGCCGCCCCUGAGUUGGGGGGGAGAUUUUCCUCAGGAAAUGGUGCUGGUGGAAGGAUUAACUUCUGCCCUCCCCAGUGCCAGGGUCCCAAUGCAAGUCCUCACCCCACAACUGCAAUUGGCCAAAAAGAGAAAGAGAGGGAAGAUCCAGUCACAAAUCUCUGCUGUUCUAUCUAGUUUGGACUUCAGUCAGACCAUCUACUGUAGGAGUUCCCAACCUUAGGUCCCCAGGUGUGGCUGGACUACAGUUCCCAUGCCCAAUCACAAUGGCCUUGUGGCUGGGGAUGAUAAGAGUUGUAGUCAACCUAAGGUUACCCCUGAUCUAGGCAGACAUCUGUCCGGCCGUAGCCCCCUUGGGCCUCAGGUGGAGGCCUAGCUCUGUGACCUGAGUUUCUCUUUAGCAAGAGAGGCCAGGGCUUGAUAUGCUAUACCUCCCCAGACACAGUGUUUGUUCCUUCAGUUUGUAGUGAGUUUCACUGCCUUUGACUGUGGUUUGGCAGUGCCAGCGUUACAUCUGAACAUGACGCUGCAAUCUCCCUCGUUGGCUACCGGUGUUGAGGGAGGAAGCUCCUCCCUCCCUCCCUCCAGCUGCGAUUGGCUGCUGGGACUGUCCUUCAGUCAAGAAGGAAUCACAGGCAGUCAGUUCCCCCUCCUCUCUGCAGUUAUGCUGACUGCAGAGAGGACACUCUCCCUUAUGUCUGAAUUCGGAUGGGAAAGCAGGGGGAGGAGGGGUAUGGAACCGUGAGUCCAUUGGACCUGUGGUUCCAUGUUGCAUGCAAAUGUGGCCAUAGAAGAAGCCCCAUUUGGGGUGUACAGCCCACCCACCCACCCUGCUCAAAUGAAGGGUACGGAUAGGAAGCAUACUGCUAGGCAUACAUUGAACAUGAUGUGUGAAUAACAGCACACGUGUACAGAUUUGUACAGAUUUACAGGGGCUAUAUUUUAACGAAAGGCGGUAUAAAAAUGCAAA
Long non-coding RNA from Hemicordylus capensis (graceful crag lizard), 6233 nucleotides. RefSeq lists it as uncharacterized. The record is from RefSeq and is a predicted model, not a curated record. NCBI's taxonomy places the organism in Eukaryota, Metazoa, Chordata, Lepidosauria, Squamata, Cordylidae. The transcript is spliced from 5 exons.